This 819-nucleotide ribosomal RNA is filed under the name Streptomyces griseorubiginosus. RNAcentral describes it as "bacterial SSU rRNA". It matches the Rfam family "Bacterial small subunit ribosomal RNA", at positions 96 to 946 of the family's 1533-position model. Lineage: Bacteria; Bacillati; Actinomycetota; Actinomycetes; Kitasatosporales; Streptomycetaceae. The record is from RNAcentral.
UGGCGAACGGGUGAAGUAACACGUGGGUAAUCUGCCCUUCACUCUGGGACAAGCCCUGGAAACGGGGUCUAAUACCGGAUAUCACUGCCAUGGGCAUCUGUGGUGGUUGAAAGCUCCGGCGGUGAAGGAUGAGCCCGCGGCCUAUCAGCUUGUUGGUGAGGUAACGGCUCACCAAGGCGACGACGGGUAGCCGGCCUGAGAGGGCGACCGGCCACACUGGGACUGAGACACGGCCCAGACUCCUACGGGAGGCAGCAGUGGGGAAUAUUGCACAAUGGGCGCAAGCCUGAUGCAGCGACGCCGCGUGAGGGAUGACGGCCUUCGGGUUGUAAACCUCUUUCAGCAGGGAAGAAGCGAAAGUGACGGUACCUGCAGAAGAAGCGCCGGCUAACUACGUGCCAGCAGCCGCGGUAAUACGUAGGGCGCAAGCGUUGUCCGGAAUUAUUGGGCGUAAAGAGCUCGUAGGCGGCUUGUCACGUCGGGUGUGAAAGCCCGGGGCUUAACCCCGGGUCUGCAUUCGAUACGGGCAGGCUAGAGUGUGGUAGGGGAGAUCGGAAUUCCUGGUGUAGCGGUGAAAUGCGCAGAUAUCAGAGGAACACCGGUGGCGAAAGSGGAUCUCUGGGCCAUUACUGACGCUGAGGAGCGAAAGCGUGGGGAGCGAACAGGAUUAGAUACCCUGGUAGUCCMCGCCGUAAACGUGGGAACUAGUGUUGGCGACAUUUCACGUCGUCGUGCGCAGCUACGCAUAAGUUCCCSCCUGGGGAGUACGCGCAGCUAAACUCAAGAAUGACGGGCCGCACAGCAGCGGAGCAUGUGCUA